GUGCUGGUAGCUGUCCAGCAGAAGGAGCUGAGUCUCCCCAGAAGAGGAAGUUUGAUAGAUUCCCAGAAGUGGAAUUG
Long non-coding RNA from Propithecus coquereli (Coquerel's sifaka), 77 nucleotides. RefSeq lists it as uncharacterized. The transcript has 3 exons. NCBI's taxonomy places the organism in Eukaryota, Metazoa, Chordata, Mammalia, Primates, Indriidae. The record is from RefSeq and is a predicted model, not a curated record.